GUCCUAGCUUUUGUAGCUGAGUGUCAGCCUUGAACUUGGCCCAAGAUAAUACUGCCUCUACGAUGCCAAUCUUUGUGACCUGACAAAAAUGUGGGAUGUUUAAAAAAAAUUGGGUAUCCAUGAGCUGUUUGACUACUGCAUCUGUGACAUGAUCCACAUGUCUACCUCCCUGUUAACAACGGUUUGUCAGACAAUUCGAACAAAUGUACAAGACCUAAUAAAGACGAAUUAAUUUUA
Long non-coding RNA from Neodiprion fabricii, 237 nucleotides. RefSeq lists it as uncharacterized. The record is from RefSeq and is a predicted model, not a curated record. The transcript has 2 exons. NCBI's taxonomy places the organism in Eukaryota, Metazoa, Arthropoda, Insecta, Hymenoptera, Diprionidae.